UACGGGGGGUGCAAGCGUUAUCCGGAUUCACUGGGUUUAAAGGGGGCGUAGGGGGGCAGGUAAGUCAGUGGUGAAAUCUUCGAGCUUAACUCGGAAACUGCCGUUGAUACUAUCUGUCUUGAAUACCGUGGAGGUGAGCGGAAUAUGUCAUGUAGCGGUGAAAUGCUUAGAUAUGACAUAGAACACCAAUUGCGAAGGCAGCUCGCUACACGAAUAUUGACUCUGAGGCACGAAAGCGUGGGGAUCAAACAGG
This 253-nucleotide ribosomal RNA is filed under the name uncultured bacterium. RNAcentral describes it as "partial 16S ribosomal RNA". It matches the Rfam family "Bacterial small subunit ribosomal RNA", at positions 524 to 776 of the family's 1533-position model. The record is from RNAcentral.